RNAcentral lists this ribosomal RNA (480 nucleotides) under uncultured Nitrospira sp. RNAcentral's name for it is "bacterial SSU rRNA". It matches the Rfam family "Bacterial small subunit ribosomal RNA", at positions 224 to 704 of the family's 1533-position model. Lineage: Bacteria; Pseudomonadati; Nitrospirota; Nitrospiria; Nitrospirales; Nitrospiraceae. The record is from RNAcentral.
GACGGGCUCAUGUCCUAUCAGCUUGUUGGUAGGGUAACGGCCUACCAAGGCAUCGACGGGUAGCUGGUCUGAGAGGACGAUCAGCCACACUGGCACUGCGACACGGGCCAGACUCCUACGGGAGGCAGCAGUGAGGAAUAUUGCGCAAUGGGCGAAAGCCUGACGCAGCGACGCCGCGUGGGGGAUGAAGGUCUUCGGAUUGUAAACCCCUUUCGGGUGGGAAGACGGCCCUAGACAACUAGGGCGGACGGUACCGCCAGAAGCAGCCACGGCUAACUUCGUGCCAGCAGCCGCGGUAAUACGAAGGUGGCAAGCGUUGUUCGGAUUUACUGGGUGUAAAGGGAGCGUAGGUGGUUAGGUAAGCCCUCCGGGAAAUCUUCAGGCUUAGCCUGAAAAGGUCGGGGGGGACUGCCUGGCUAGAGGACGGGAGAGGAGCGCGGAAUUCCCGGUGUAGCGGUGAAAUGCGUAGAGAUCGGGAGG